RNAcentral lists this ribosomal RNA (379 nucleotides) under uncultured bacterium. Its description in RNAcentral is "bacterial SSU rRNA". It matches the Rfam family "Bacterial small subunit ribosomal RNA", at positions 30 to 416 of the family's 1533-position model. The record is from RNAcentral.
AUUGAACGCUGGCGGCAUGCCUUACACAUGCAAGUCGAACGGUAACAGGUUAAGCUGACGAGUGGCGAACGGGUGAGUAAUAUAUCGGAACGUGCCCAGUAAUGGGGGAUAGCCCGGCGAAAGCCGGAUUAAUACCGCAUACGACCUACGGGUGAAAGCAGGGGAUCGCAAGACCUUGCGUUAUUGGAGCGGCCGAUAUCAGAUUAGCUUGUUGGUGGGGUAAAAGCCCACCAAGGCGACGAUCUGUAGCUGGUCUGAGAGGACGACCAGCCACACUGGGACUGAGACACGGCCCAGACUCCUACGGGAGGCAGCAGUGGGGAAUUUUGGACAAUGGACGAAAGUCUGACCCAGCCAUGCCGCGUGCAGGAAGAAGGCC